AUGAAAGGCCCUCCUAGCCAACCUCUUCCUUUCCUCUUCACAAUCCACCACACACACUCCCAAGCUUUGGAGAAGUCUGAGAAGCUGAGGAGGGUAAACCUUCAGGAGGAAAUACUGGGGCCACAAAAUGUGAAGACAAUGGUGUCCCCAGGAAGCCACGGCCCUGCAAACUAGGAUCAUCACUGAGAGCACCAGCAGCUGGCUGGACCAAGGGCCUAGGAUGCUUCUCGAAACCAAGGUCUUUCCAGAGCUUAGAUCCUGCCUGCCUGGAGCAAACCCAAGGAACCCUCCACUCUCAUCGACUCACCUCACCUCGGGCUUAGACUAACCACAGAUGUCUCCCUGCCUUCCAUCUCUUGCUGCUGCCUCCUGCCUUUGCAGGAGUACAAUUCACAGUCAGAUGCACUUUAAAUCUCUGGCCCUGGGACAAAUUUCCCCAUCCUCAUUCAGCUCCUCUCGGACAAAGCCCUAGUCUGAAGGGAGUGAGUCCUUUUGAGGCUUUGCAGAGCUGCAGAUAAACUUGUUUAUGAAUUUCGAGUCAGAGCAUCCCUAUAGCCCCUGAGAGACUGCUCUUGCAUGUGAAAGGAGGCUUAAGAAUAACAGAGGAAUAUUUUUGAGUUGAACCGCACCUGGAUAUUCUCCCCACAAGUCCCCUGGAAAGGCAGCAAGCACCAUCUGCUGGAAGUCAAGGAGAAUGGCAGAAACGUGGAGGACAGUGAGGGGCGUGGGCUGAGAACUGAAGGACGAUCUACUGGGAGCUGAGGAAAAAUUCAGGAUGGAAAACUGUGAAGGAUAGGGAUAGGGGAGAGAAAAGGGGACCAACAGCUGAGGAGGAAUCCCCUAAACCACUGAUCCAGUCCCAACAACUGGCAAGGUCUGCUGACAUCAGUGACAACAAAGGAAUGAAGCAAUGUCGUUCAAGCAGAAGGGUCAGUUGGUGUGGAAGAGAAAAGGUGACUACACUUGACUUCAACCCUCCCAGGAGUGUAAGUCACCGGUAUGGUGCAUGGGUCUCUGGGGAAAGAGCUCUUCCCUGAAGUGUUUUGUUACCCUUAUGGGCUUGUAUGUGAGUACUAUGUUACCAUCAG
Molecule: long non-coding RNA, 1088 nt
Filed under: Phascolarctos cinereus (koala)
Lineage: Eukaryota; Metazoa; Chordata; Mammalia; Diprotodontia; Phascolarctidae
Description: lncRNA (ENSPCIG00000028253.2)
Source: RNAcentral